UGGGGAAUAUUGGACAAUGGGCGAAAGCCUGAUCCAGCCAUGCCGCGUGUGUGAAGAAGGUCUUCGGAUUGUAAAGCACUUUAAGUUGGGAGGAAGGGCAGUAAGCGAAUACCUUGCUGUUUUGACGUUACCGACAGAAUAAGCACCGGCUAACUCUGUGCCAGCAGCCGCGGUAAUACAGAGGGUGCAAGCGUUAAUCGGAAUUACGGGGCGUAAAGCGCGCGUAGGUGGUUCGUUAAGUUGAAUGUGAAAGCCCCGGGCUCAACCUGGGAACUGCAUCCAAAACUGGCGAGCUAGAGUAGGGCAGAGGGUGGUGGAAUUUCCUGUGUAGCGGUGAAAUGCGUGGAUAUAGGAAGGAACACCAGUGGCGAAGGCGACCACCUGGGCUCAUACUGACACUGAGGUGCGAAAGCGUGGGGAGCAAACAGG
Molecule: ribosomal RNA, 429 nt
Filed under: Pseudomonadota bacterium
Lineage: Bacteria; Pseudomonadati; Pseudomonadota
Description: Proteobacteria bacterium partial 16S ribosomal RNA
Rfam family: Bacterial small subunit ribosomal RNA
Source: RNAcentral